UUCAUAUUGGUUAAGACAGAGACCAGGGUGCUGUAAUAAGGAGCCCCCCCCCAUAUCCAGUGGCUCCAAGGAAAUAGAUGUUUCUUCCUCCCGCGCACGCCGGUAAAGGGGAGCGGGCCCAGUUAGCGGACACCCUAACACCCACCUGGGUUCAGAGAUCUGGGUUCUUUCCAUCUUCCUUCUGCAGUAUCCUGCAGAUCGUGCUCCUGGUCUGCAUGUCCACACUGUGUGGCUGCCUCAGGACCUCAGCAUUCCGAAGAAAGGAAGGGGCAAGAGUGGAAGGCCAUGUGCUGUGUUUGAGGGCCCACACCUAGAAGUAGCCCAGUGUCGCCAUCCACCUUUCAGGUGAGGCCAAGUCAUAUGAGCACACGUAGCUGCCAGGGGCUCUGGGGAAAAGCAGGCUCUGGCUGGGUGGCCAUGUGCCCAGCUACUACCACAUUGCCAAAGAAAUAGCUGCUGUUGGCUCCAUUUUAGAGAUGAAGAAGCUGAGUCUAAGAAACAAAUCACUUGUUCAAGUUGGUGCCCCUAGCUAAUCUUGGCAAAGUUAAGUGGCCCCUUUUAGGUCAUGCAGUGUAUCUGUUUGCUACCCCUGUGUCACCAGUGACACAAACUUGGUGGCUCCUAAAUCAACACCAGGUUAUUAUCUCACAGUGUCUGUAGGUCAGAAGUCGAUUGUGACUCAGCUGGAUCUCUUGCUCUGGGUGUUGCACACCCUGUGCUGGCCGGCUGUGUCCUCAGCCUCCGCGUGCAGGUGGCUGUGGUUUUCAGGCCACCCUCAUUUCCCAGCAGCCUUCCCACAUUCAUGGGCCCACUGGCGACAUUGCAGAGGGCAGCGGUGGGAUCCUCACGUCAGAGCCCCCUCCUAGGGAUCGCCCUCACUCUUGACAUUUCCCUGAUUUCCUCUUUUGCUACUAGCCAAAAAAACCUGCUUCUUUUGAAGGGUUUCCUCUCUGCCCAGGACUGGGCCAGGCCAACCUGAAUAAAUCCUAGCCUCUGGAGGCCCAUUGACACAGGACCUGACCUGUCAGCACGGGCCACAGACUGGGUGGCUUAAAUGGAUAGACCUUGCUUUCUUGUGGUUCUGGAGGCUGGAAGUCCCAGACCCAGGUGCUGGCAGGUUUGGUUCCUGGAGAGAGCCCAUUUCCUGCCUUACACAUAGAUGGAUGGCUUUUGCCGUAUCCUUCCAUGGCCAAGAGAGAAGCAGCAAGCCAUCUGGGGUCUCUUCUAAGGCCACUAAUCCCAUCAUGGGGCCCCACCCUUGUGACUUCAUCUAAACCGAAUCACUUCCCAAAGACCCCUGGCUCCUAAUACCAUCAUACUGAGGGUUAGGACUUCACAUGGGCUUGAGGGGCGGAGAGGACAAACAUCCAGUGCAUAACAGGCUUCAAUUACGUCUUCAAAAUUAGCCUCCCAGCAGCAUUUAGUGUUUGGUUAAUACCAGAGGACAGGAAUCUUGGGGGGAUGGGGUUGGUUUUUAGAAUCCUGCCUACAGCUGGGGUUAGGACAGGAACAAGAUUAGAACUUGGGUUGUCACUGUACCACAGGACCCCUCUCCUGGGGCCAGCAGUGUACCUCAAGGCAGUGCUACCUGCAAAAUGAGUCCCCAAGCAGAGGUACAGAGAAAGAUAGCCUUUUCUUCCAGUGGCUUAGCUUUUUAACAGAUCUGGGUGUCUAAGAACUGCAGUCUGGGGGCUCCUCAAAACCAAGGCCUGGGUGCACAGGUGAGAGGGCUGGGUGCACAGCACACCAGGGUGGGAGGUGGGAGGGCUGGGUGCACGGCACACCAGGGACAGCAGCUUUCAGAGUUUGGGAGGUGCGGAGUGGGGAGGCUCAAGGUGUCGGGAGAGAGUUUAAAUACAUCCCACUGAGACCUGAGGGCCUCUGUGGGAACAUAGCCCCACAAGAUGGUGCCCCUUAAAGAGGGAAGAGGCCCCCCGACUCCAGAAACGCGGCUGGUCAGGCUGGUCCUGGCCUUUCAGCUGUGUGGCCCAACGGCCUCAUGAGCAUGCCAGGGGUUGCAUAACCUCCUUGGGGCGGGGGGGGUGGAGGUGGGGGAAUACAGAGAGGGGGCCCCUAUGGGCCGAGUUCCUCUUCCACAGCAUUGCUCAUUGUGGCACCGGGGAAGGUAGGGGCAAGAUAGGCCAUAUUCUCCUCCAAACGGGGAAAUGAGAAAGGUGACCAGCCCGCAUUUCUAUCAACAACGUAAGGAAAAGUCCCCCUUCUGUUCUAGUUUUUAAAAUCAUGUACAUGAAGGGGCUCCUGGGUGGCUCAGUUGGUUAAGCAUCCAACUCUGGGUUUUGGCUCAGGUCAUGAUCUCAGGGUCCUAGGAUCAAGUUCACGUGUGGGGCUCUGACUUCAGUGGGGGGUUGGCUUGAAAACUAUCUCUCUCUCUCCCCCCCCCCCCCCCGCACCUCUUCCUCUCUCUCUAUUUCUCUAAAAAUAAAUAAUAAAUCUUUAAAAUCACAUACAUGGCUAGUUACUUAGGUUGGUGUUACACUCUGAAAAUUGUUUAGGGCUCCUCUGACUUCGAGACAAGUUGUCACCCCUUUUGCUGUUGUCCGAGGAGGAGGAUCUUGUGCCAGUGACUGGGGGGGAGAAGGGAAGAAAAGUCAACCAAAGCCGAUCUGCCUCUGGAGCCACUGGCCAUGAUUAUGGGGCUACUCCACAUCUGGGCCCCUCAUUCUGCAGUCAGGCAAUUGCAGUGCAGGGACGGCAGUCAUGAUGUGCCAGGGCCUUGGACAUGGAGCAACAGACAACUGCCAGCUCGCUUGGCGCAAAUUCUAGAGAGAUGACUUGGGGUCAAAGGAAGACUCCAUCUGCGUAUCUUACCAAUUCCCCAAGGGGGACGGAGGGAGGGAGGGCUGGGAGCCCAGAAGUGGAAAAUGUGGCUCAUAGGGAUUGCAUUCCCUGUGGGAUGGGAACCGUUGGGGACAGCCUGGAGCCUGAGGUUUUUCUGGGUCCGCUGUUCUCUGGGUCAGUCUUCCUUGUGGGGCCAGCAGCCCCUGGGAUAGGAGAAGCAGAGCCCAGGAGCUCUAUGGAGAGGUGGGGAGCCUGGAGUCAGUGGCUCCCUUUGGUGGAGACCAUACUAAGUAGCUUAAAAUCACCCAGCAACCUGGCAGUCAUGAGUCUCACUUCCUAGACCCUCGGGGCAACAUUGGGGAGCUCAGGCUGUGGAAAAUUAGCUACAAGCUUCAUUUGAAGUGAUUUGAAGGUAUAUCAUUGCAUGUCUCUUCCUCGCACCAACCGCCCCCCCCCCCCCCCCCCCCCGCCCCUGCCAUACCUACAGUGAGAAGUCUGGUUCUUUGAAUAUUCUUUCCCAGUGCAAGGAAAACCAAGUGAUCUCCUGACCAGACUUGCCUGUAAAAUAGCCAACCACUCACCUGGGAAGGUGGGCAAAGGGCUUUCAUUUCAAUAAAGCAAGAAACAUAUAGUCAGGCCUGGUCUGUGACACAGCCUCUUGCCAGACCUCUCCUGUCCCUCAUCCUCCCUCAAACAUGCAAAGGAUUAAAUGACUCUGAUCUUGAUGGGAGAGGGGGCAGUCUAUUCCAGGCUCUUGCCCAGCCACGUGCCAAAGCCCAGGGCUGAUUGCACAAUCCAAGCCUAAAACUAUUCAUAUCCGUAAAAAGCUGAGAAGCUUCAUUGACAGCACUCUCUGCUGCUGCGGUCUGUUCAUUAUCUGGGGUCCUCUCAGGAGGAGGUCAGGGGCUUCUGAAGUGACUCAGAAGGAAAGCAGCUGCUCUUCUGCUCUGCAGAGCAAAGUCCAUGAAUAUGCUUGCUCA
Molecule: long non-coding RNA, 3779 nt
Filed under: Canis lupus familiaris (dog)
Lineage: Eukaryota; Metazoa; Chordata; Mammalia; Carnivora; Canidae
Description: lncRNA (ENSCAFG00845028737.1)
Source: RNAcentral